RNAcentral lists this ribosomal RNA (253 nucleotides) under uncultured bacterium. RNAcentral's name for it is "partial 16S ribosomal RNA". It matches the Rfam family "Bacterial small subunit ribosomal RNA", at positions 524 to 776 of the family's 1533-position model. The record is from RNAcentral.
UACGUAGGGUGCGAGCGUUAAUCGGAAUUACUGGGCGUAAAGCGUGCGCAGGCGGCUUCGCAAGUCAGGCGUGAAAUCCCCGGGCUUAACCUGGGAAUGGCGUCUGAAACUACGGAGCUGGAGUGUGGCAGAGGGAGGUAGAAUUCCACGUGUAGCGGUGAAAUGCGUAGAUAUGUGGAGGAAUACCGAUGGCGAAGGCAGCCUUCUGGGCCAACACUGACGCUCAUGCACGAAAGCGUGGGGAGCAAACAGG